This 991-nucleotide long non-coding RNA is filed under the name Piliocolobus tephrosceles (Ugandan red Colobus). RNAcentral's name for it is "lncRNA (ENSPTEG00000002077.1)". Lineage: Eukaryota; Metazoa; Chordata; Mammalia; Primates; Cercopithecidae. The record is from RNAcentral.
AGCGAGGUUUGCGGGGUGGUGAGCCAGCAGAGGGGCUCCAUGGAAGGAAAGAUCCCGAAUGCCCCUCUCAUUCUGUCCAUCCUCAGAUGUUAUUUUACUGACUAGAAUUUUUUAACAGCUAAAACCAGGAAAAAAUAUGCUUAACAAUUCAAUACAUUUUCUUACAAAUAAAAGGAGUAAAAUAAAUGUGUAUUCUCCUGCAGAGCUCAUCUGGAAGCCUCCUUACACACCCCUCUGCCACCUGGUGGCAUCGCCUUUUCUCUUGGAUUCCUGGGGUGUCCGCUGAUGUUGCUGUCAAAAAGCAUCGAACUCUUCCCUCCCGCGACGCAGCGUGUCCGGCUGCCUCGGAUAUUCCCAGACCAGUCCAGCUGCCCAGCUCUUUACUCUCUGAUUCUUCCCUGCUCUUUCUUCCAAGUCAGAGAGGGAUACUGGCUUGUUAUCUUUGGACCCCCAGUACAAGGAAAGAAAGAGACAAAAGUAAUAAAACCACAAAUAGGAAGACCAAGCUGGAGCUCGCCCAUCUAACAGAUGUUCCCAUGCCAGCAUCAACCUGGCUUCUCCCACGGCCAGACGGAAAUCGGUCUUUACUUUCCACAUGGACAGGAAGGUAAAUAUUCAGAUAAUAUGCAGAAGAAAGGUUUAGCUGUGAUAUGAGUUGUGGCUCAGGGAGCCUGGAAACAACUGGUUGUUGAAGCAGGGAGUGUUGAAAUAACAUGUUGUUUUACAGUUCUUCACUGGGAGACUAAUAUUUCAACACAUUUGAAUGACUUCCUUGCAGAAAAAUGCUUAGGCUUAAAACAUGAAGCUGGAUAAGUAACAGGAGCUUCCAAGAGAAAAAUCACUCAACUUAGAUAUAUUCCAUGGCCAAGAAAUUCAGCGUCUGUAGUUAGAAAUGUUUCCAGCAAGCCCACCUCAUGUUGUCUGUUCUCAAAGGGGAUGACUUUGGAUUGGACCUACUUUUCAAAUAAAACUGUUAGGAGAGUAAGAGACA